This 223-nucleotide unclassified non-coding RNA is filed under the name Glomeraceae sp. Its description in RNAcentral is "partial contains 5.8S ribosomal RNA and internal transcribed spacer 2". The stretch from base 1 to 65 matches the Rfam family "5.8S ribosomal RNA", at positions 84 to 154 of the family's 154-position model. The record is from RNAcentral. Lineage: Eukaryota; Fungi; Glomeromycota; Glomeromycetes; Glomerales; Glomeraceae.
GUGAAUCAUCAAAUUUUUGAACGCAAAUUGCACUCUCCUCGGAGAGUAUGCCUGUUUGAGGGUCAGCCUAUAAAAAAUCGACAUCGUUGCUGUUUCGCGGUGGCGUUCGUCGGAAAUUGGGUCAUCUUAAAUCUUUUGGUUUUAAGCGACUUAAAAUUUUUUUUUACGAUUCUAAGAAUGUUUCUAAGAUUUUUCUUUUCCGUUUAAGUUAUGAAUUGUUUUU